Molecule: transfer RNA, 72 nt
Filed under: Betta simplex
Lineage: Eukaryota; Metazoa; Chordata; Actinopteri; Anabantiformes; Osphronemidae
Description: tRNA-Val
Rfam family: tRNA
About the family: Transfer RNA (tRNA) molecules are approximately 80 nucleotides in length. Their secondary structure includes four short double-helical elements and three loops (D, anti-codon, and T loops). Further hydrogen bonds mediate the characteristic L-shaped molecular structure. tRNAs have two regions of fundamental functional importance: the anti-codon, which is responsible for specific mRNA codon recognition, and the 3' end, to which the tRNAs corresponding amino acid is attached (by aminoacyl-tRNA synthetases). tRNAs cope with the degeneracy of the genetic code in two manners: having more than one tRNA (with a specific anti-codon) for a particular amino acid; and 'wobble' base-pairing, i.e. permitting non-standard base-pairing at the 3rd anti-codon position.
Source: RNAcentral
CAAAAUGUGGCUCAAACAGAAAAGCAUCUCUCUUACGCUGAGAAGUUAUCCGUGCAAAUCGGAUCAUUUUGA